CCUACGGGAGGCUGCAGUGAGGAAUAUUGGUUAAUGGACGAGAGUCUGAACCAGCCAAGUAGCGUGAAGGAUGACUGCCCUAUGGGUUGUAAACUUCUUUUAUAUGGGAAUAAAAUGUUCCACGUGUGGGAUUUUGUAUGUACCAUAUGAAUAAGGAUCGGCUAACUCCGUGCCAGCAGCCGCGGUAAUACGGAGGAUCCGAGCGUUAUCCGGAUUUAUUGGGUUUAAAGGGAGCGUAGGUGGAUUGUUAAGUCAGUUGUGAAAGUUUGCGGCUCAACCGUAAAAUUGCAGUUGAAACUGGCAGUCUUGAGUACAGUAGAGGUGGGCGGAAUUCGUGGUGUAGCGGUGAAAUGCUUAGAUAUCACGAAGAACUCCGAUUGCGAAGGCAGUUCACUGGACUGCAACUGACACUGAGGCUCGAAAGUGUGGGUAUCAAACAGGAUUAGAUACCCGUGUAGUC
RNAcentral lists this ribosomal RNA (460 nucleotides) under uncultured bacterium. RNAcentral describes it as "partial 16S ribosomal RNA". It matches the Rfam family "Bacterial small subunit ribosomal RNA", at positions 338 to 795 of the family's 1533-position model. The record is from RNAcentral.